Molecule: ribosomal RNA, 444 nt
Filed under: uncultured bacterium
Lineage: Bacteria
Description: SSU rRNA
Rfam family: Bacterial small subunit ribosomal RNA
Source: RNAcentral
AGAACGAACGCUGGCGGCAGGCUUAACACAUGCAAGUCGAGCGCCCCGCGAGGGGAGCGGCAGACGGGUGAGUAACGCGUGGGGAUGUACCCAGAGGUGCGGAAUAACUCAGGGAAACUUGAGCUAAUACCGCAUGAGCCCGAGAGGGGAAAGAUUUAUCGCCUUUGGAUCAACCCGCGUCAGAUUAGCUAGUUGGUAGGGUAAUGGCCUACCAAGGCGACGAUCUGUAGCUGGUCUGAGAGGAUGAUCAGCCACACUGGGACUGAGACACGGCCCAGACUCCUACGGGAGGCAGCAGUGGGGAAUAUUGGACAAUGGGCGCAAGCCUGAUCCAGCCAUGCCGCGUGAGUGAUGACGGCCUUAGGGUUGUAAAGCUCUUUCGCACGCGACGAUAAUGACGGUAGCGUGAGAAGAAGCCCCGGCUAACUUCGUGCCAGCAGCCGC